This 320-nucleotide ribosomal RNA is filed under the name uncultured eukaryote. RNAcentral's name for it is "partial 18S ribosomal RNA". It matches the Rfam family "Eukaryotic small subunit ribosomal RNA", at positions 1470 to 1796 of the family's 1831-position model. The record is from RNAcentral.
CCCCUAGAUGUUCUGGGCAGCACGCGCGCUACACUGAACAGUUCAACAAGUCUUAACCUUGGCCGAUAGGUCUGGGUAAUCUUUGAACGCUGUUCGUGAUUGGGAUAGACCUUUGCAAUUAUGGGUCUUCAACGAGGAAUUCCUAGUAAACGCAAGUCAUCAGCUUGCAUUGAUUACGUCCCUGCCCUUUGUACACACCGCCCGUCGCACCUACCGAUUGAAUGGUCCGGUGAAAUCUCGGGACGGCGGCUUGGUCGCUUGCGUCCGACUGCUGAAACUUGAUUAAACCAUAUCAUUUAGAGGAAGGUGAAGUCGUAACA